GUGCUGGCUUCGGCAGCACAUAUGCUAAAAUUGGAACGAUACAGAGAGAUUAGCAUGGCCCCUGCGCAAGGAUGACUUGCAAACUCGUGAAGCCUUCCAUAUUUUU
RNAcentral lists this small nuclear RNA (106 nucleotides) under Octodon degus (degu). Lineage: Eukaryota; Metazoa; Chordata; Mammalia; Rodentia; Octodontidae. The record is from RNAcentral.